AAACCAACAAGAACUGCUAACUCC
Molecule: transfer RNA, 24 nt
Filed under: Selasphorus heloisa (bumblebee hummingbird)
Lineage: Eukaryota; Metazoa; Chordata; Aves; Apodiformes; Trochilidae
Description: partial tRNA-Ser
Source: RNAcentral